RNAcentral lists this ribosomal RNA (406 nucleotides) under uncultured bacterium. RNAcentral's name for it is "partial 16S ribosomal RNA". It matches the Rfam family "Bacterial small subunit ribosomal RNA", at positions 29 to 526 of the family's 1533-position model. The record is from RNAcentral.
AUUGAACGCUGGCGGCAGGCCUGACACAUGCAAGUCGAACGCGUGGCGGACUGGUGAGUAAUGUCUGGGACACUGCCUGAUGGAGGGGGAUAACUCCUGGAAACGGUAGAUAAUACCGCAUCCCCUCAGAUGUGCCCAGAUUGGAUUAGCUAGUUGGUGGGGUAACGGGUAACAACGGCGACGCUCCAUAGCUGGUCUAAGAGGAUGACCGGCAAGACGGGAAGUGGGACACGGUGCAGAAACCUAAGGGAGGCAGCAGUGGGGAAUAUUGCAAAAUGGGCGCAAGCCGGAUGCAGACAUGGCGGGUGGAUGAAGAAGGCCUUGGGGUGGAAAAGUACUUGCAGCGGGGAGGCGUUGCCCGCAGAGGAAGCACCGGCUAACUCCGUGCCAGCCGCCGCGGUAAUUC